RNAcentral lists this ribosomal RNA (426 nucleotides) under uncultured bacterium. RNAcentral's name for it is "bacterial SSU rRNA". It matches the Rfam family "Bacterial small subunit ribosomal RNA", at positions 917 to 1344 of the family's 1533-position model. The record is from RNAcentral.
GGACCCGCACAAGCGGUGGAGCAUGUGGUUUAAUUCGAUGCAACGCGAAGAACCUUACCUGGUCUUGACAUCCUGCGAACUUUCUAGAGAUAGAUUGGUGCCUUCGGGAACGCAGUGACAGGUGCUGCACGGCUGUCGUCAGCUCGUGUUGUGAAAUGUUGGGUUAAGUCCCGCAACGAGCGCAACCCCUAUUGAUAGUUACCAUCAUUAAGUUGGGUACUCUAUUGAGACUGCCGCUGACAAGGCGGAGGAAGGUGGGGACGACGUCAAGUCAUCAUGGCCCUUACGACCAGGGCUACACACGUGCUACAAUGGGUAUUACAGAGGGCUGCGAAGGUGCGAGCUGGAGCGAAACUCAGAAAGGUACUCUUAGUCCGGAUCGGAGUCUGCAACUCGACUCCGUGAAGUCGGAAUCGCUAGUAAUCG